GUGGGGAAUAUUGGACAAUGGGCGAAAGCCUGAUCCAGCCAUGCCGCGUGUGUGAAGAAGGUCUUCGGAUUGUAAAGCACUUUAAGUUGGGAGGAAGGGCAGUCAGUUAAUACCUUGCUGUCUUGACGUUACCAACAGAAUAAGCACCGGCUAACUUCGUGCCAGCAGCCGCGGUAAUACGAAGGGUGCAAGCGUUAAUCGGAAUUACUGGGCGUAAAGCGCGCGUAGGUGGUUCAGCAAGUUGGAUGUGAAAGCCCCGGGCUCAACCUGGGAACUGCAUCCAAAACUACUGAGCUAGAGUACGGUAGAGGGUGGUGGAAUUUCCUGUGUAGCGGUGAAAUGCGUAGAUAUAGGAAGGAACACCAGUGGCGAAGGCGACCACCUGGACUGAUACUGACACUGAGGUGCGAAAGCGUGGGGAGCAAACAGGAUUAGAAACCCUAGUAGUCC
This 450-nucleotide ribosomal RNA is filed under the name uncultured bacterium. RNAcentral's name for it is "bacterial SSU rRNA". It matches the Rfam family "Bacterial small subunit ribosomal RNA", at positions 354 to 796 of the family's 1533-position model. The record is from RNAcentral.